GAUUAUACUAUCGGUUAACUGAUGGCCCCAAGUCAAAGAAAAUGAGCCAAAUGGGGUCAGAGUAGUAAAGAUUUGUAAGUAAUGUAACCAAAUCUCAGUGACCCAGAUUUCUGUAUGUUAUUCUACAAAUUUGGUAUCGAUUUUAGACUUCAUUUUGUAGUUUUAGGUUUUUUGUUUGUUUUUAUUAUCAAAAUCUCUGCAUAUUAUCAUAGUGAUUUUUUGCUCGUCCUGAAAUUUGCGGGAUAGUAUACAAUAG
Molecule: non-coding RNA, 256 nt
Organism: Cinara cedri
Lineage: Eukaryota; Metazoa; Arthropoda; Insecta; Hemiptera; Aphididae
Source: the annotation of a GenBank genome assembly